AAAGAAAAUAACAAUGAUUCCCCUAGUAACGGCGAGCGAAGAGGGAAUAGCUCAAAUUUUAAAUCUGUUGGGUCUUACCUAACCGAGUUGUAAUUUGAAGAAGCGUUUUCUGCGUGUUUGAUUUAGCCCAAAUCCUUUGGGAUAAGGUAUCAUGGAGGGUGAGAAUCCCGUCCGGCCUAAUCAAAUGUGCUUUACGAUACGUUUUCUAAGAGUCGAGUUGUUUGGGAUUGCAGCUCAAAAUGGGAGGUAAAUUUCUCCUAAGGCUAAAUAUAGGCGAGAGACCGAUAGCGAACAAGUACCGUGAGGGAAAGAUGAAAAGAACUUUGAAAAGAGAGUUAAACAGUACGUGAAAUUGUUGAAAGGGAAACGAUUAAAGUCAGUCGUACUAACGGGGAAUCAACCUUUUGAGGGCGGAAUUGUGGGAUUCAGAGUGCCUUUGUCUUUCACAACCUGCUUUCUUUGGGUGCACUUUCUCGUAUUGUAGGUCAGCAUCGGUUUCGACCGUUAUAAAAUGACUGGAGGAAUGUAGCUUCGAUCUCGUGUUGAAGUGUUAUAGCCUUUGGUAGAUGUAACGGAUGGGAUCGAGGAUUGCAAUGAAUACCCUCAUGGGCUAUCCGCCUGGCCUCUGACAUGUAACUCUGGUGCCGAAAGCUUGCUUAUGGUAUUAUAGUGUACGGUCAAAAGGUUAGAACGGAUUAAAUU
This 702-nucleotide ribosomal RNA is filed under the name uncultured Glomeromycotina. Its description in RNAcentral is "eukaryotic LSU rRNA". It matches the Rfam family "Eukaryotic large subunit ribosomal RNA", at positions 58 to 640 of the family's 3401-position model. Lineage: Eukaryota; Fungi; Glomeromycota. The record is from RNAcentral.